This is a long non-coding RNA of Passer montanus (Eurasian tree sparrow), 298 nucleotides long. RefSeq lists it as uncharacterized. The transcript has 2 exons. NCBI's taxonomy places the organism in Eukaryota, Metazoa, Chordata, Aves, Passeriformes, Passeridae. The record is from RefSeq and is a predicted model, not a curated record.
GAGCACCGGUACCUAAGAGACAAAGAGCUACUGACAGAGCCUUCAAAGGGCCACAAAGGCGAUGAGCGGUCUGGCACAUCUCUAACGAGGAGAGACUGAGGGAGCUGGGCCUGUUGAGUCUAGAGAGGAAAAGACAGAAGGGAUCUGAGCAAUACAUAAAAAUAUUGCAAAGAAUAUUGUCCAUUAGAGGACUGGCAUAUAUGGAAGAAAACAUGGGCCAAAAGUUUCUUGAAAGUCUGUGUAAUGCAACGACAGAGUGAAACACGGUUGGCUCCAAUAAAUGCUCAUCAGUGUUGAA